UCUACUCUAAUCCAUAGAUUUCAUAAUUUUAUCUUUCAAAAAAUACCUCAUAUAGGAAAGAUGAUCUCUUUCUAUAACACCACAAUAGAUAUAAAUAUAAAUCCAAUAUUGAAAAUACAGACAUAAAUAUGGAUAUAAGUCGAAUAAUUAAAUUUUAUAACUAUCGAUAAAUAGUAAAUCAAAUUAGUAACUUAUUAUCAUAAUUGCAUAUUUUCCUAAGA
Molecule: long non-coding RNA, 221 nt
Filed under: Elaeis guineensis (African oil palm)
Lineage: Eukaryota; Viridiplantae; Streptophyta; Magnoliopsida; Arecales; Arecaceae
Description: long non-coding RNA (EGUI_LNC015587)
Source: RNAcentral